This 466-nucleotide ribosomal RNA is filed under the name uncultured bacterium. Its description in RNAcentral is "partial 16S ribosomal RNA". It matches the Rfam family "Bacterial small subunit ribosomal RNA", at positions 28 to 523 of the family's 1533-position model. The record is from RNAcentral.
GAUGAACGCUGGCGGCGUGCCUAACACAUGCAAGUCGAGCGAACCCUUCGGGGUGAGCGGCGGACGGGUGAGUAACGCGUGGGUAACCUGCCCUAUACACACGCAUAACGUGCCGAAAGGUACGCUAAUACGAGAUAAAGUUGUUGGACGGCAGCUUCUGACAAUCAAAGCUCCGGCGGUAUAGGAUGGGCCCGCGUUUGAUUAGCUAGUUGGUGAGGUAAUGGCUCACCAAGGCGACGAUCAGUAGCCGACCUGAGAGGGUGAUCGGCCACACUGGAACUGAGACACGGUCCAGACUCCUACGGGAGGCAGCAGUGGGGAAUAUUGCACAAUGGGCGAAAGCCUGAUGCAGCAACGCCGCGUGAGCGAUGAAGGUCUUCGGAUCGUAAAGCUCUGUUCUCAAGGAAGAUAAUGACGGUACUUGAGGAGGAAGCCCCGGCUAACUACGUGCCAGCAGCCGCCGUAA